Molecule: non-coding RNA, 134 nt
Organism: Pseudomonas sp.
Lineage: Bacteria; Pseudomonadati; Pseudomonadota; Gammaproteobacteria; Pseudomonadales; Pseudomonadaceae
Source: Rfam
UCGUGGGUGACUGCGAAUCUGAAGGAAGCCCGAGGCAAAUUGCUGGCCUGACGAACAGAAAGCGAAUAACCGCUUAACCUGAACCGCCGUAUACGGAACCGUAUGUACGGUGGUGUGAGAGGACGGCGGAUGUA